Molecule: long non-coding RNA, 290 nt
Organism: Rhincodon typus (whale shark)
Lineage: Eukaryota; Metazoa; Chordata; Chondrichthyes; Orectolobiformes; Rhincodontidae
Exons: 3
Source: RefSeq, a predicted model, not a curated record
GAGCGGGCACGGGAAACGGGUAUUGUUGCUCUCUCUCUGUCAGCCCCGCGCUGCUCGGCCUACUACAGCAACCCCUUCAUCGCCGCCGCACAGCUUGCGAGUUGGCCCCGGCGGCAGACCACCUGUCAAUUACAUUCUUGGAAGCUACAAGGAUCAACAUCCUCUGUAUCCAAGUUAUUCCUGGAAGAUUUAACCUGGGUCUUUGGCCUGUUAAUACAGGCUGAAUUGUGAACAGCAGCAUGGAGGAUUAUGUAAAGAUUGAGAAAAUUGGUGAAGGUGAGCAAUUUAAG